GGUUUGAAGGAUUACAUGUAUAUAAAGGGAAGAAGACGAGAAAUGAAGGAAAGGGCGCCUAAGGCCGAGCGCUUCCCUCGCGAAAGAAGGGGUGGCGUGGUAUUCCACGGAGAGAGGUUCUUUAUACAUCGUGGCGCACGCUAGUGCGAUAGGCGCAUAUUAACACAAUUUUUUUUUUUUGUGGGGGAUGCCAUGGCCGCUUUGCUGCUUUAGUUCUUGUAGCCAAAGCGAAGGUAUAGCCCUACAUUUCUUUUUUUUUUUUCCUAUUCUUUUUCAUUUUUUUUGAUUUUAUUAACCAAAAUCAAAUUUCUUUUUGUUUUAUGGCCAUUUGGGUACUUUUAAAAAUAAAUAAAUAAAUCUUUUAUCUUGUUUUGAGGAAUUAUUUGAUAAUUUAAUGGGUUUUUUUUUGGGGUGUGUUGGGGAUAUUAGUUAAAAAGUAAUUAUGUGAUUUGUUCUUUCGUUGAUCUUUUUUUUUUUUGGAUCCAUUUUUAUGCAUACUUGACUUUUUAAGGGAAAAUAAAUUUUGCUUAAAACUGCAAAAUUAUGGGGUUUUUUUUUUUUUUUUUUAAAUCAUAGCUCUGUAUUGAAUAUGUUUAAAAUUUUCUUUUGAUACAAUUUAUUUUGAGCUCAUAAUGUGGGCUAAAAAUGCAAGACAAAGAUAGCAAAGAAUAUGUGUUGUUUGAGCUUAGUGUUAAGAACAGGACAAUGAAUUUUAUGUUCAUUGUUUCCUUCAUUGAAAGCCUGUAUAAAUAAUUUCCUGCUUUGCAUCUCAGCUACGCCAAAGGAUUUUCCUCUUCUAGAGAGAAACCCUUGCUUGAAUUCUCUGCCAAAAAAAAUUUUUUUCAUCACUUUUCCUGGUGAUUAGCCAUAACAACUGGAAUGCAGAAACUUGGCUUUGCCAUACCUUUAUGAAAACCUUGAUCUUCGAGCUACUUGCCGGAUAUGAUUUUCAUUCCAUUGCAGGAGUUCAUCGACUUUAUCUGAUUCCGUGACUAAUGGUCCUGAAUAACCAACUUUUCCCUGAUGGUUGAAAACCAAGAUAAAUUGUAGUAGUAAGCAAAAGAAGAUGGCCAUGAGUGAAAACUAAGAAAAAACUGAUGAGAAUUACAGAUGCUGAAGGUGAUCUUACCAUGUUAUUAUUUGUGGCAGUUACAUCUUCCUGAUGGAACACAUCACUUGUAUAAAAAAUAUCUGACCUAUCAAACUUGUUUUGCACCAGUUGGUUCAAUCCGGUUAUCUGCUGUUUCUGCUCCCUGGGAGCAUCGGUAGAAACACCUUCAGGAACAUCUUGAUUCUCAUGUUUUAUUAAGUUAAGGAUG
This 1319-nucleotide long non-coding RNA is filed under the name Durio zibethinus. RNAcentral's name for it is "long non-coding RNA (DZIB_LNC002260)". The record is from RNAcentral. Lineage: Eukaryota; Viridiplantae; Streptophyta; Magnoliopsida; Malvales; Malvaceae.